AGAGUUUGAUCCUGGCUCAGGAUGAACGCUAGCUACAGGCUUAACACAUGCAAGUCGAGGGGAAACGACAUCGAAAGCUUGCUUUUGAUGGUCGUCGACCGGCGCACGGGUGAGUAACGCGUAUCCCAACCUGCCCAUCACGUUGGGGAUAACCUUGCGAAAGUAAGACUAAUACCCAAUGAUAUCUCUAGAAGACAUCUGAAAGAGAUUAAAGAUUUAUCGGUGAUGGAUGGGGAUGCGUCUGAUUAGCUUGUUGGCGGGGUAACGGCCCACCAAGGCGACGAUCAGUAGGGGUUCUGAGAGGAAGGCCCCCCACAUUGGAACUGAGACACGGUCCAAACUCCUACGGGAGGCAGCA
Molecule: ribosomal RNA, 358 nt
Filed under: uncultured bacterium
Lineage: Bacteria
Description: bacterial SSU rRNA
Rfam family: Bacterial small subunit ribosomal RNA
Source: RNAcentral